AACGAACGCUGGCGGCAGGCUUAACACAUGCAAGUCGAACGCCCCGCAAGGGGAGUGGCAGACGGGUGAGUAACGCGUGGGAACAUACCCUUUUCUACGGAAUAGCUCUGGGAAACUGGAAUUAAUACCGUAUACGCCCUACGGGGGAAAGAUUUAUCGGGGAAGGAUUGGCCCGCGUUGGAUUAGCUAGUUGGUGGGGUAAAGGCCUACCAAGGCGACGAUCCAUAGCUGGUCUGAGAGGAUGAUCAGCCACAUUGGGACUGAGACACGGCCCAAACUCCUACGGGAGGCAGCAGUGGGGAAUAUUGGACAAUGGGCGCAAGCCUGAUCCAGCCAUGCCGCGUGAGUGAUGAAGGCCUUAGGGUUGUAAAGCUCUUUCACCGAUGAAGAUAAUGACGGAAGUCGGAGAAGAAGCCCCGGCUAACUUCGUG
This 431-nucleotide ribosomal RNA is filed under the name uncultured bacterium. RNAcentral describes it as "partial 16S ribosomal RNA". It matches the Rfam family "Bacterial small subunit ribosomal RNA", at positions 29 to 507 of the family's 1533-position model. The record is from RNAcentral.